GUCGGAUACAAAAAAGGCAAAUCGUAUUCAAUAAAGCCAGUUUUUUAGUUUCGGAUUGUUACGAGGGAUCUUUUGGUUUUAAUGUGUAUUUUUUCCUGCGAACAGUUUUCUUACCAAAAUUCAUGCUCUGAAAAAUCAAGUGUAGUCAUUUUUCUCUAUUUGGUGCAUUAAGAAAGUCAUUUUUUAAUUGUCUAAGGUGAAAACCCUCAGCAAAUUAUAGGUGAAACGGUAAAUAUUCACGGAACUUCAAGGCGCGACGUUACCGUU
Molecule: non-coding RNA, 267 nt
Organism: Cinara cedri
Lineage: Eukaryota; Metazoa; Arthropoda; Insecta; Hemiptera; Aphididae
Source: the annotation of a GenBank genome assembly